This 253-nucleotide ribosomal RNA is filed under the name uncultured bacterium. RNAcentral describes it as "partial 16S ribosomal RNA". It matches the Rfam family "Bacterial small subunit ribosomal RNA", at positions 524 to 776 of the family's 1533-position model. The record is from RNAcentral.
UACGUAGGGUGCGAGCGUUAAUCGGAAUUACUGGGCGUAAAGCGUGCGCAGGCGGUUUCACAAGCUCGAUGUGAAAGCCCCGGGCUUAACCUGGGAAUGGCAUUGAGGACUGUGGAGCUCGAGUGCGGCAGAGGGAGGUGGAAUUCCACGUGUAGCAGUGAAAUGCGUAGAGAUGUGGAGGAACGCCGAUGGCGAAGGCAGCCUCCUGGGCCGACACUGACGCUCAUGCACGAAAGCGUGGGGAGCAAACAGG